RNAcentral lists this long non-coding RNA (1326 nucleotides) under Equus caballus (horse). RNAcentral's name for it is "lncRNA (ENSECAG00000045431.1)". The record is from RNAcentral. Lineage: Eukaryota; Metazoa; Chordata; Mammalia; Perissodactyla; Equidae.
GUAUUAAAUAGUUGCGUAAACCACAUCUUCUCCAACUUUAAUGUGGCUGGGAUUCAAGUGGGUAUCUUUCUAAAAUGCAGAUUCUGAUUCAAAAGGUCUGGGGUUGAGUCACAGAUUCUGUAUUUCUUACAACACUGGCAUCUUAUGUGAUGCCACUGUUGCUGGACCAAAGACCAUAUUGUAAGUAGCAAGCAUAUAAACAACCUUGUUUUGUAAAUAAGAAAACAGGAUUAAGACGGCAAAUAAUUUACCACGAUCACAGAGCUACGGUGAGUCAGGAUUUGAAUUCAGGUGUAUCUGACCAACCAAUAAAGAGCCUAUCAAGGUGCUGGAGGAUGCAGGGAUUAGAGCCAGCAGAGUAAGUUUGGAGGAGGAGGCUGACCUCCUUAAAUGUGAGAAUUUACUGGGAAAUGGUGGGAGACAACAUCGGUACCAGAAAUAGAAGUCAUCCACUGCUUAAUAUAGAAUUAGUGCUACAGAGAAGAAACAGAAGUCAAACCUUGUUUCUUGACCUGUGAAUAUCAAGACAUUAAAGAAACAGAAUUGGCAGAGAGAACGAGUAAACCUGAUGAGGCCAUGUCACAGGUACUGGAAAGAAGCAACCAUUAUCGACAUGAGAUAAUGACCAGAGAUCUAGCAGGAGUGGGGAUGUAACAGUAAUUGCCACCAAAGCCAUUGACUGGGGAGCCAUGAUGCAGAGUUACUCCCUUCCAUCACAGAUGCGUCCACGACAUUGUCAUAAGAGAAGACUUCAAAUUAACCUGAGACUGAUUUGCGAUUUGGGAAAAUGAAUGCAGAACGAGGAGAACUGGUUCCACGGCCGCAUCAAAGGCUCCGGGACCUGUCAGAAAUGUUAACCUCUUAAAGCUGAUUGUGAUCCUCCAAAGUGGAAGGAAACAAAGAAAGGAAAAGAAAAGAAAGAAAAGGAGAAGAAUAUCUAGAAGAUCUGCUUGUGUAGACUUGCCCUUUGGUCCAACGUGUUACAAAUCAAUGCAAAGACUUCCAAGAUAUAGAAGAGGGAGGUGCAGAACAGACUCUUCGCUGACGUGCUUGGGACACUGUGGAAGUUUUAUAAGCAUGUCUGGCUGAAUUUAAUGCUGUAGUUUUUAACCGACAUCUAAUAUAUGUGGAGAUGCUAACCUGAUUCCAGGACUAUUGAUUUACUUGUUCUUUCGUGCCGUCAGGAAAUAUUUCAUGUAUACUUACCAUGAGUCAAUGUCAGGGCUGAGGUGGGGAGACUGAACUGAAAGGCCUCUUGAUAAAGUUCUUGUUUCCCUGGAGCUUACAGUCUAGAAGAGGAAAAAGCAUAAAGAAACAUGUAAUUAC